CUUGCUGGAUAUGAAAGUGGCGCACGGGUGCGUAACGCGUAUGCAACCUACCUUUAUCUGGGGGAUAGCCCGGAGAAAUCCGGAUUAAUACCGCAUAAAAUCACAGGAUGGCAUUAUCCAAUGAUCAAACAUUUAUGGGAUGAAGAUGGGCAUGCGUGUCAUUAGCUAGUUGGCGGGGUAACGGCCCACCAAGGCGACGAUGACUAGGGGAUCUGAGAGGAUGGCCCCCCACACUGGUACUGAGACACGGACCAGACUCCUACGGGAGGCAGCAGUAAGGAAUAUUGGUCAAUGGAGGCAACUCUGAACCAGCCAUGCCGCGUGCAGGAAGACUGCCCUAUGGGUUGUAAACUGCUUUUAUCCGGGAAUAAACCUGCUUACGUGUAAGUAGCUGAAUGUACCGGAAGAAUAAGGAUCGGCUAACUCCGUGCCAGCAGCCGCGGUAAUACGGAGGAUCCAAGCGUUAUCCGGAUUUAUUGGGUUUAAAGGGUGCGUAGGCGGCCUGUUAAGUCAGGGGUGAAAGACGGUAGCUCAACUAUCGCAGUGCCCUUGAUACUGAUGGGCUUGAAUGGACUAGAGGUAGGCGGAAUGAGACAAGUAGCGGUGAAAUGCAUAGAUAUGUCUCAGAACACCGAUUGCGAAGGCAGCUUACUAUGGUCUUAUUGACGCUGAGGCACGAAAGCGUGGGGAUCAAACAGGAUUAGAUACCCUGGUAGUCCACGCCCUAAACGAUGAACACUCGCUGUUGGCGAUACACAGUCAGCGGCUAAGCGAAAGCGUUAAGUGUUCCACCUGGGGAGUACGCUCGCAA
Molecule: ribosomal RNA, 811 nt
Filed under: Sphingobacteriaceae bacterium
Lineage: Bacteria; Pseudomonadati; Bacteroidota; Sphingobacteriia; Sphingobacteriales; Sphingobacteriaceae
Description: bacterial SSU rRNA
Rfam family: Bacterial small subunit ribosomal RNA
Source: RNAcentral